CUGCAAGUAUCAACCACACACACCAGCCAUCGCUUACCUCCUAAAAAUUGUCCUCACAUCCCUCUCACUUGGAAGACCGGCCGACCACCUCCUUUGUGGCGAUGCACGGCGGCUGUGGAAGAAGGACGACGGGCGGAGAUGGGCGGUAGUUAUCAGCGGCGGAGAAGGUGGUGGCAUAAGGAGGGAGAAUGGCCGUGGUGAUCUCUCUCCGCCGUCUCCCUCCCUCUCCUCACCGUCUCUUCCAGCUCCGAGGUGUUGUGGCCGAGAUUGUUGAUAAGGAAGUGGCUCAAUCGGUCUUCCAGAAGCUCCGAAUACGACGCUGAUUCGGAGGAUGAUGAUACUGCUUACGGAACCGACGGAGACGUUCUUUCAUACGUUUUGAUUCGGUGGUAUUUAAUUCGAGUUAGUUUCUGUUUAAACCAGCCGCAAUGAGGAAGGGAUUGGUACGUUUUCUUUAUCUUUUACUUGGUUCAACUUUCGAUAUAAAUUUUGCUCAAGAACCACAUAUCUACGUUUCGAGUUAGUAUAGUU
Molecule: long non-coding RNA, 531 nt
Organism: Helianthus annuus (common sunflower)
Lineage: Eukaryota; Viridiplantae; Streptophyta; Magnoliopsida; Asterales; Asteraceae
Exons: 3
Source: RefSeq, a predicted model, not a curated record